Lemur catta (Ring-tailed lemur) is the source of this 137-nucleotide long non-coding RNA. RefSeq lists it as uncharacterized. The transcript has 3 exons. NCBI's taxonomy places the organism in Eukaryota, Metazoa, Chordata, Mammalia, Primates, Lemuridae. The record is from RefSeq and is a predicted model, not a curated record.
UGUGUGCCCGUUGCAGGGCUGGAGUCAGGGCCAGACCCAGAGCCCACCCAGGGAAGGGGGACCAGGGUCCCGCAGCAGUUCCUGCAUGGAGAGCGCGAGACCGUGUCCUGCAGUCCCAGGAGUCCCCAUCAUGUGCU